This 488-nucleotide ribosomal RNA is filed under the name Salmonella enterica. RNAcentral describes it as "bacterial SSU rRNA". It matches the Rfam family "Bacterial small subunit ribosomal RNA", at positions 1 to 478 of the family's 1533-position model. Lineage: Bacteria; Pseudomonadati; Pseudomonadota; Gammaproteobacteria; Enterobacterales; Enterobacteriaceae. The record is from RNAcentral.
AAAUUGAAGAGUUUGAUCAUGGCUCAGAUUGAACGCUGGCGGCAGGCCUAACACAUGCAAGUCGAACGGUAACAGGAAGCAGCUUGCUGCUUUGCUGACGAGUGGCGGACGGGUGAGUAAUGUCUGGGAAACUGCCUGAUGGAGGGGGAUAACUACUGGAAACGGUGGCUAAUACCGCAUAACGUCGCAAGACCAAAGAGGGGGACCUUCGGGCCUCUUGCCAUCAGAUGUGCCCAGAUGGGAUUAGCUUGUUGGUGAGGUAACGGCUCACCAAGGCGACGAUCCCUAGCUGGUCUGAGAGGAUGACCAGCCACACUGGAACUGAGACACGGUCCAGACUCCUACGGGAGGCAGCAGUGGGGAAUAUUGCACAAUGGGCGCAAGCCUGAUGCAGCCAUGCCGCGUGUAUGAAGAAGGCCUUCGGGUUGUAAAGUACUUUCAGCGGGGAGGAAGGUGUUGUGGUUAAUAACCGCAGCAAUUGACGUUAC